RNAcentral lists this ribosomal RNA (397 nucleotides) under uncultured bacterium. Its description in RNAcentral is "partial 16S ribosomal RNA". It matches the Rfam family "Bacterial small subunit ribosomal RNA", at positions 523 to 918 of the family's 1533-position model. The record is from RNAcentral.
AUACGUAGGUGGCAAGCGUUGUCCGGAAUUACUGGGUGUAAAGGGCGUGUAGGCGGGAGGACAAGUCAGAUGUGAAAGCCCAUGGCUUAACUGUGGAAUUGCAUCUGAAACUGUUUUUCUUGAGUGCUGGAGAGGAAAGUGGAAUUCCUAGUGUAGCGGUGAAAUGCGUAGAGAUUAGGAGGAACACCAGUGGCGAAGGCGGCUUUCUGGACAGUAACUGACGCUGAGGCGCGAAAGCGUGGGGAGCAAACAGGAUUAGAUACCCUGGUAGUCCACGCUGUAAACGAUGGAUACUAGGUGUGGGAGGUAUCGACCCCUUCCGUGCCGGAGUUAACACAAUAAGUAUCCCACCUGGGGAGUACGGCCGCAAGGCUGAAACUCAAAUGAAUUGACGGGG